UACAGAGGGUGCGAGCGUUAAUCGGAAUUAUUGGGCGUAAAGCGUCCGUAGGUGGCUAGUCAAGUCUGCGGUCAAAGACUGGGGCUUAACCCUGGAAAGGCCGUGGAAACUGACGAGCUAGAGUGCAGUAGGGGUAGAGGGAAUUCCCGGUGUAGCGGUGAAAUGCGUAGAGCUCGGGAAGAACAUCGGUGGCGAAAGCGCUCUACUGGACUGCAACUGACACUCAGGGACGAAAGCUAGGGGAGCGAACGGG
RNAcentral lists this ribosomal RNA (253 nucleotides) under uncultured bacterium. Its description in RNAcentral is "partial 16S ribosomal RNA". It matches the Rfam family "Bacterial small subunit ribosomal RNA", at positions 524 to 776 of the family's 1533-position model. The record is from RNAcentral.